Molecule: ribosomal RNA, 392 nt
Filed under: uncultured bacterium
Lineage: Bacteria
Description: bacterial SSU rRNA
Rfam family: Bacterial small subunit ribosomal RNA
Source: RNAcentral
GACGAACGCUGGCGGCGUGCCUAACACAUGCAAGUGGAGCGACGAACCAGGCUUCGGCCUGGGGCAGAGCCGCGAACGGGUGAGUAACACGUGGGUAACCUGCCCUGAUGAUUGGGACAACCCGAGGAAACUCGGGCUAAUACCAAAUGUGCCCUCCGACCAUAAGGUCGCUGGGGAAAGGAAGCUUCGGCCUCCGCAUCGGGAUGGGCCCGCGGCCCAUUAGCUUGUUGGUGAGGUAANGGCUCACCAAGGCAACGAUGGGUAGCUGGUCUGAGAGGACGAUCAGCCACACUGGGACUGAGACACGGCCCAGACUCCUACGGGAGGCAGCAGUGGGGAAUCUUGCGCAAUGCGCGAAAGCGUGACGCAGCAACGCCGCGUGGGGGAAGAAG